This 492-nucleotide ribosomal RNA is filed under the name uncultured bacterium. Its description in RNAcentral is "partial 16S ribosomal RNA". It matches the Rfam family "Bacterial small subunit ribosomal RNA", at positions 29 to 507 of the family's 1533-position model. The record is from RNAcentral.
AGUGAACGCUGGCGGUAGGCCUAACACAUGCAAGUCGAACGGCAGCACAGUAAGAGCUUGCUCUUACGGGUGGCGAGUGGCGGACGGGUGAGGAAUACAUCGGAAUCUACUUUUUCGUGGGGGAUAACUUAGGGAAACUUACGCUAAUACCGCAUACGACUUACGGGUGAAAGCAGGGGAUCUUCGGACCUUGCGCGAUUGAAUGAGCCGAUGUCGGAUUAGCUAGUUGGCGGGGUAAAGGCCCACCAAGGCGACGAUCCGUAGCUGGUCUGAGAGGAUGAUCAGCCACACUGGAACUGAGACACGGUCCAGACUCCUACGGGAGGCAGCAGUGGGGAAUAUUGGACAAUGGGCGCAAGCCUGAUCCAGCCAUACCGCGUGGGUGAAGAAGGCCUUCGGGUUGUAAAGCCCUUUUGUUGGGAAAGAAAAGCAGCAGGUUAAUACCCCGCUGUUCUGACGGUACCCAAAGAAUAAGCACCGGCUAACUUCGUG